RNAcentral lists this ribosomal RNA (253 nucleotides) under uncultured bacterium. Its description in RNAcentral is "partial 16S ribosomal RNA". It matches the Rfam family "Bacterial small subunit ribosomal RNA", at positions 524 to 776 of the family's 1533-position model. The record is from RNAcentral.
UACGUAGGGUGCAAGCGUUAAUCGGAAUUACUGGGCGUAAAGCGUGCGCAGGCGGUUUUGUAAGUCUGUCGUGAAAGCCCCGGGCUCAACCUGGGAACUGCAUUUGUGACUGCAUGGCUAGAGUUUGUCAGAGGGGGGUGGAAUUCCACGUGUAGCAGUGAAAUGCGUAGAUAUGUGGAGGAACACCGAUGGCGAAGGCAGCCCCCUGGGAUGUGACUGACGCUCAUGUACGAAAGCGUGGGGAGCAAACAGG